CCUACGGGAGGCUGCAGUGGGGAAUAUUGCACAAUGGGCGCAAGCCUGAUGCAGCCAUGCCGCGUGUGUGAAGAAGGCCUUCGGGUUGUAAAGCACUUUCAGCGGGGAGGAAGGCGUUAAGGUUAAUAACCUUGUCGAUUGACGUUACCCGCAGAAGAAGCACCGGCUAACUCCGUGCCAGCAGCCGCGGUAAUACGGAGGGUGCAAGCGUUAAUCGGAAUUACUGGGCGUAAAGCGCACGCAGGCGGUCUGUCAAGUCGGAUGUGAAAUCCCCGGGCUCAACCUGGGAACUGCAUUCGAAACUGGCAGGCUAGAGUCUUGUAGAGGGGGGUAGAAUUCCAGGUGUAGCGGUGAAAUGCGUAGAGAUCUGGAGGAAUACCGGUGGCGAAGGCGGCCCCCUGGACAAAGACUGACGCUCUGGUGCGAAAGCGUGGGGAGCAAACAGGAUUAGAUACCCCAGUAGUC
RNAcentral lists this ribosomal RNA (465 nucleotides) under uncultured Klebsiella sp. Its description in RNAcentral is "bacterial SSU rRNA". It matches the Rfam family "Bacterial small subunit ribosomal RNA", at positions 338 to 795 of the family's 1533-position model. The record is from RNAcentral. Lineage: Bacteria; Pseudomonadati; Pseudomonadota; Gammaproteobacteria; Enterobacterales; Enterobacteriaceae.